RNAcentral lists this ribosomal RNA (497 nucleotides) under uncultured bacterium. RNAcentral describes it as "partial 16S ribosomal RNA". It matches the Rfam family "Bacterial small subunit ribosomal RNA", at positions 28 to 507 of the family's 1533-position model. The record is from RNAcentral.
GAUGAACGCUGGCGGCGUGCCUAAUACAUGCAAGUCGAGCGAACAGACGAGGAGCUUGCUCCUCUGACGUUAGCGGCGGACGGGUGAGUAACACGUGGAUAACCUACCUAUAAGACUGGGAUAACUUCGGGAAACCGGAGCUAAUACCGGAUAAUAUAUUGAACCGCAUGGUUCAAUAGUGAAAGACGGUUUUGCUGUCACUUAUAGAUGGAUCCGCGCCGCCUUAGCUAGUUGGUAAGGUAACGGCUUACCAAGGCGACGAUGCGUAGCCGACCUGAGAGGGUUGACCGCCCCCACAGAAGCGAGACACCGUCCCGACUCCUACCGGAGGCAAGAGUCAGGAAUUUUCCGCAAUUGGGGGAAGACUUACGGAACCACCCCGGGUGAGUGAAUAAGGGCCUCGGAUUCUAAAACCCUUUUUUUAGGGAAGAACAAAUGUGUAAGUAACUAUGCACGUCUUGACGGUACCUAAUCAGAAAGCCACGGCUAACUACGUG